This 467-nucleotide ribosomal RNA is filed under the name uncultured bacterium. RNAcentral's name for it is "partial 16S ribosomal RNA". It matches the Rfam family "Bacterial small subunit ribosomal RNA", at positions 28 to 507 of the family's 1533-position model. The record is from RNAcentral.
GACGAACGCUGGCGGCGUGCUUAACACAUGCAAGUCGAACGGAAAGGCCCUGCUUUUGUGGGGUGCUCGAGUGGCGAAAGGGUGAGUAACACGUGAGUAACCUGCCCUUUACUUUGGGAUAACUUCAGUAAACUGGGGCUAAUACCGGAUAUGAGCUCCUGCUGCAUGGUUGGUUUGGAAAGUUUCGGCGGUUGGGGAUGGACUCGCGGCUUAUCAGCUUGUUGGUGGGGUAGUGGCUUACAAAGGCUUUGACGGGUAGCCGGCCUGAGAGGGUGACCGGGCACAUUGGGACUGAGAUACGGCCAAGACUGCUACGGGAGGCAGCAGUGGGGAAUAUUGCAAAAUGGGCGGAAGCAUGAUGCAGCAACUCCGCGUGCGGGAUGACGGCCUUCGGGUUGGAAACCGCUUUCGCCUGUGACGAAGCGUGAGUGACGGUAAUGGGUAAAGAAGCACCGGCUAACUACGUG